Molecule: ribosomal RNA, 162 nt
Filed under: uncultured bacterium
Lineage: Bacteria
Description: partial 16S ribosomal RNA
Rfam family: Bacterial small subunit ribosomal RNA
Source: RNAcentral
AAUCGCGGAUCAGCAUGCCGCGGUGAAUACGUUCCCGGGCCUUGUACACACCGCCCGUCACACCAUGAGAGUCGAUAACACCCGAAGCCUGUAGUCUAACAGCAAUGAGGAACGCAGUCGAAGGUGGGAUUGAUAAUUAGGGUGAAGUCGUAACAAGGUAAC